AUUGAACGCUGGCGGAAUGCUUUACACAUGCAGGUCGAACGGCAGCACGGGGGCAACCCUGGUGGCGAGUGGCGAACGGGUGAGUAAUACAUCGGAACGUGCCCGGUCGUGGGGGAUAACGUAGCGAAAGUUACGCUAAUACCGCAUACGAUCUGAGGAUGAAAGCGGGGGACCUUCGGGCCUCGCGCGAUCGGAGCGGCCGAUGUCAGAUUAGGUAGUUGGUGGGGUAAAGGCCUACCAAGCCGACGAUCUGUAGCUGGUCUGAGAGGACGACCAGCCACACUGGGACUGAGACACGGCCCAGACUCCUACGGGAGGCAGCAGUGGGGAAUUUUGGACAAUGGGCGCAAGCCUGAUCCAGCCAUUCCGCGUGCAGGACGAAGGCCUUCGGGUUGUAAACUGCUUUUGUAUGGAACGAAAAGGCUCUGGCUAAUACCUGGGGCUCAUGACGGUACCGUAAGAAUAAGCACCGGCUAACUACGUG
Molecule: ribosomal RNA, 484 nt
Filed under: uncultured bacterium
Lineage: Bacteria
Description: partial 16S ribosomal RNA
Rfam family: Bacterial small subunit ribosomal RNA
Source: RNAcentral